Long non-coding RNA from Gallus gallus (chicken), 31223 nucleotides. RefSeq lists it as uncharacterized. The transcript has 10 exons. The record is from RefSeq and is a predicted model, not a curated record. NCBI's taxonomy places the organism in Eukaryota, Metazoa, Chordata, Aves, Galliformes, Phasianidae.
AACGGUCGUCGCGCGAGGCGGCCCCGGCCGGUAGCGGCUGCGGUUGCUCCCUGAGGCGGGGCGGGGCUUGGCGGAACGCGGCUAGCGGGACGGAGUCAGCAGACAUUGGGAAAUGUGAGGCAAAAGGAAUGUGAGUGGAUGCAGCUUCAGUUGGUUCUGAUGAUUCUGAUUCAAAGUGUUCAAAACUCUUUGGAAAGUGUUGCAGGAGUCACAGCAUUACUUUCUUCAAACUGAACCUCUGCAAACUCUUCAGGCAUGUCAGGCCUGAGUCUUUUGGUGAAUUAAAUCAUCUUUGAUGAAUCUUGCCUGGCCCAGCUGAGAAGCCUUGAUGAUGACUUAGGCCACUUCUACAAAGCACCAUGGCAGCUCUUUUCUUUUCGAAUGAAAAAUACUAAUUUUUCACAGGAAGCAGGAGAAAGAGGAAGAGACUGCAGUGAUGGAGUUUAGCUAUCCAUCAUGGUGAAACUGUCAGAGGAGCUGAGCAUGGUUCCUUGGCAUGCUUCCUAGAGGAAAGUGUUUCACCAGUCAAAAGCAGAGGCCAGAGACCGCUGUUCCCAGAGAAGAAUGUGCCCCAAACAGAAGAACUGGUCACUUGGGAAGAACCGCCUUCUGGUAGUGGCUCACAGUCCAGAAGAAUUCAGCGAGGCAACUCCACAGUAGCAUGAAACUGGCACUACUCCACCACUUCUCCAGUUGAAGGUCUGGACAGCAGUCAAGACAAAGUUUCAGCCUAUUUACCUGGUAUUUAUGGCAACUCCUCCUGCCAAGAGGUCUGACCCAUCAGGUGACAGGACAAAACAUUUUGUGACACAGCAACACUGACGUGCUGUUUGACCUCAUCUCCCAUCUCUAGGAAUCGAUCAUACAAGUCCAUUAUUUGGCAAGAUGGCUGACCUUGAGACUAUGGGCAGGCAUCUCACGUUCCUGGGCUCCUCUGCCUGGUGUUACUUGAGAGGGAUCAAGAGUUUAGUCCCACUCAGAGACAGUGUGAUGAGUUGAUGAGUCCCCACACUUUGCCCAGAAAAGCAGAAAGGAAAGCAAAAAGCUGCUGUGCUGGCCAGAUUCUGGAACCUUUCCCUACCUGAGAGGUGCAUAUGUAAUAAAAGCCUGAAGAUCACUAGGCAUAGAAACAUGAGAUUAGGAUCAAAGUGGAAGGCAAAACCACCAUAAAAAACUUUUCUGCACUGAGGAACUCCACAGUAAAAGGAGCUGAAGUUGCAGUGUUAAGGGCAGACAGAGGACAACGCUAUGAAAAAGGCAUGACAAGGAGUCCGCUUGACCCUCAGACCCCAUGAUGUCCUGCUUACCUGCCAGAAUCAAGAGAUGAGAAGACCACCAAGGGCUACAAUCCCCUCUGCAGACAAAAAUUUGUGUAAUGGAACAAGCAUAUGCUUCAUUUUCCCCAUCACUCUGGCUUAUGUUGCACAUUCUUUUAUCUUGAAACCAACAAAAACGUCCACCCAAAACAAAUUCUGCACUUAAAUUCCCCACAUUUGCCUCACAAAUUAACAACACUAAGUGUACAAGCAAAUGUUGUUAAAAAAAAACAAUGUGUUCCUUUUUAUUAUGAUGAAUAAAUCUCCUCAUCCUAGGAAGUUUUCACUUUUCCUUAUUUGUAUUUUGGAAUGUGAAAGAAAAAAAAAAAAAAGCAAGCUGUGAGAUCUUUGACUUCAGUUUUACCUCCCAGUCCCAUUCUUUACAGUGUCCCUACUAAAGGGCAAACAGGCCAAGACACACACAGUAACACAGGCAGAUGGACAGCUAGGCACCUACAAAGAUUUGCAGCUGCUACUGCACUUUCACGUGGUACUUUUCUGAGAUAGGCUUUAUUCAAUCAUAGAAUGGCCUGGGUUGAGAAGGACCACAAUGAUCAUCUAGUUUCAACCCCUGUGCUAUGUAUAGAGUCGCCAACCACUAGACCAGGCUGCAGGAAUCUGUGUAUGCAGGCUAUACAUACACACAAAUUUAUCACACAAAUAAACACAACCCCAUUCCUCACCUUCAGACAUCCCUCCUUUCCUCAUUAUGUGGAUGUACCUAGGUACCAUUCCAGUAGAUUCGCUACAGAAGCCAAACUAUGAUCUCAUAUUUUCAGAUCAUCACAGCGAGUGUUUGGAACUUUACAGGAAAUACAGUGCAAUAAAGCAAAAGAUAAAAAUAAUAAUAAAAAAUAUUAAAUACAUAAAUUAAUAAAAACAAAAACAGAAAAAAAAAAUCACUGCCUAACACGGCUGCACCACCUGCAGCUUGCACUCUGACCAUGGCUCUAUGUCUACCAGAGCAUGAGAGGGAAAAGCCCGUGUAUGAUUUUACAUAUGUCUGCACUCUGUCUCAUUUAGUAUUUGAGCACUCUUUGUUCUCUGUCCAGAGGUCUGGAGCCCUUUGCAGACACACCUCAGAGGGGGCUGCCCUCUUCAAGGAAGGUAUGGAAAAAGAAGCAAGUUUCAGCAACCCCCAGCCUGGGGUGACCCAGCCCACCCUGCCCACGCGUCCUCCCUGCUGUGCUUGUUCCGUUUGCCCUUGGAAUGCUAUCACUUAUUAUCACGCUGACUUCUCCAGAUGGGGCAUUUUGGCUAUUGAUCUGAUAAAUAAACAGCCUGCUCGCUCGAUCAAAAUGUUAUUUUGCAUUUCAAUUACUGUUCACUAAUGCAACCUUCAUCCCGCCAAGAGCGCUGCUGGCAAUGACACUCGACCUGGCACAGGCGUUUGCAAGCAAAUUCGGCAGCGCCUGCUGCAAGCACCUAACGGGAUUACCAACCUCCAUUAGACUCAUAGAUGGAGAAGGAGAUGGACAAGCAGUACUGGGCUGAGAGGGGAACAGAUGCAUGCAGAAAAGAAUUUGUGAGAAACCUGGGCGAGAGGUGGGGAUAGGCAGAAGCAGAAAUCCAUUUACAACACAGCUUUGCCAAAUAUUUUGAUGGUGGGAGGUCUCAAAAGCUAACUACAUCCCCUCCAGCCACCUCCCCUGACAGCUCAUAGUAGAUAGACUGAGCUCACUGUGUGUGAGCCAUGCAAGUGUUCAGAGCAAUGGGAAAUGGAAAUCAAUGUCUGGUGAUGAGCCAGCAGUAAGCACUGCAAACCCAUCAGGGCAAACAGGGCCAUUUCUGAGGCAGGUUGUGCAGCCUACGUCCACUCACAUUCAGCUGGAUGAGGGAUGCAGUGUGAAAACCAGAAGGGAAGAAACCCUGUAAGUCCUCGAUGGUUCCUCCAGUAGAGUAGGAAGUACCAAAAAGAGUAAGAAAAGGGUACCCAGAUCUGCUGAUAAGAUACGGAUCUUAAGCAGGUGUUGGUGUCUAUUGAUUCAGCAUUCUGCUUACACCAGGGAAUACUUUGCCAAAUCCCCAAACUGAUUUCACUCAAAGUCCACCAGCACAGCAAGUCAGCAAGUGGCCACCAGCAGUAAGGUCAGGCACAGCUGUUUGGUUAAGAGGCAGCUUUUAGUCCUGAGCUCUUCUAUUCACAUGAUAUGCAUCACGAGAUAGCCUUGCUUUAGCUGUUUCAGCAGCAGACUCCGACUGUAUGAUGCAGAACACACCUUGCCCACCACUUUUUUUCCUCCCCAGAUUUCUAAAUGCAAUUUAACAUAACAUAAGCUGACUCAGCCACUCAGCAUGCAAGUGGUGUUAAGCCCUGUCACCAACCACUGUAUAGCAUGUAGGAAGGUGCUGGAGUUAGCUCCCACAUGACGAAGUAAUACACGGUCAACAAAGUGCAUUUAUUGCUAUUUCAAAAAAUCCUUUGACAAAGAUCUUUCACCAGAGCUCAACUGCCUUCCAUUUCAUUACCAGACAGCAACCAGACUGAAACUGCCAGUCAUCUAUGAGUUAAAAAUAAACAAACCCACAUAACAUCCUAACAUUAUAUAAACGUAAUGCUAAGUAUAACACAAUGAAUGAAAUCAAUGUGAUGCAUAAGGACAGGAUCUAUAACUCCACACACUCACUCACACUUCAUCUGCUUUGUGUGCCCAGCUCCCUCUGCCCUUGGCAAACCAGGCAUGUCCCCAGCCACCUCUCUCUGGCCAGGUCUGAGUGGAUCUCCUUGUUCACAUGCUGCUUUGUAGCUCAAUCUAUUGGAAGAGUCUUAUCUAGGAGUAGAGUCACUGAUCCAUUUUGCACCUAGAUUACAUUUCUCCCCAGCACUAGGCACCAAUGCCCCAAACAGAGCUCAAGGACUCAUGUGUAUGUUAUUGCUCCUAGUCACUGGUUCUGUACUUACAACACAGGACAGUCAGGUAUGAGGUACUGAGUACUCACAGUGCAGCCAAAAAGUCCCAUACUCUAACUCCAAUCUCAACACUAAUAUUGUAGACUUCAACAAGUCACUGCAAAGCUCCAAGAUGCUGCUUCUCCAACUGAAAAGCACAGAUACGGUCCUGAACAACCUCACAGGAACACCAAGAGUGUUAAUCAGCAACUAUACUUGAAAGAAUAGAGCAUAUAGAUGAAAGUGUUAAAUAGGAUGAUGGACAGACGAGCUCCUAUGUUCAAGUGAUGGCCUGAAGAUGAGGGAAAGGCUGUUGAUGUAGUCUACCUAGGCUUCAGCAAAGCCUUUGACUGUAUUUUCCACAGUAUUCUCCUGGAGAAGUUGGCAGCCCAUGGCCCAGACAGGUACACUCUUUGCUGGGUAAAGAACUGGUUGGCUGGUUGGGUUCAGAAACUGGUGGUAAAUGAAGUUAAAUCCAGCUAUUGACUGGUAAUGACUGGUAUUCCCCAGGGGGUGGUAUGGGGGGCUUUUCCUGCUUGAUAUCUUUAUUGUUGACCUGGACAAGGGGAUUGGGUGCAUCCUUAGUAAGUUUGUACUCCACACUGGAAGGAAGUGUUGAUCUGCAUGGCGGUAGGAAGGCCCUACUGAGGAAUCUAGACAGACCAGAUCACUAGGCUGAGGCCAAUGGGAUGAAGCUCAACAAGAGCAAGUGCCUGGUCCUGCACUUUGGUCACAACAACCCCAUGCUCCAGAGUGGCUGGAAGUCUGUGCGGAGGAAACAGACCUGGGGAUAUUGGUCGGUGCUUAGUUAAACAGGAGCCAGAAGUGUGCCUCGGUGGCCAAGAAGGCCAAUGGCGACCUGGCUUGUAUCAGAAAUAGUGCAGUCAGCAGGAGAAGGGAGGUGAUUGUCCCCUGUACUCAGCUCUGUUGAGUACGGUUUUGGGUCCCUCUCUACAAGACAUCGAGGCCCUGGAGUGUGUCCAGGAAAGGGCAAGGAAGCUGGUGAGGGUACUCGAGCACAAGUCUUAUGAGGAGAAGCUUAGGGAUCUGGGACUGUUUAGUUUGGAGAAGAGGGGGCUCCGGGGAGACCUUAUAACUUUCUACAACUGUAGGUGGACAGAUGGACUAGAUGAUCCAAGAGGUCUUUUCCAACCUCGAUGACUCUUUGAUUAGCAGCAUAAUUUGAACAUCUUUCUUCAGCACUGUAGCCCAGAGCUUAGCCUGUGUAAGAAGUGUGAACAGUUAGAGUUUUCUUGCAUGCAAGCUAGACAGAGAGGAAUUAGAUUCACAGAUCUGUAUUAUACAGAUCAAUUCUGACCUCCUCUUGCAUCUGACUCCCCUUUAAACCGAAUCCCCUGUGACCCAGUCUACACAAUAACCUUAUCUCUAAUACUGCCUAAUCCUAUCUCCAGCUCCCUUGGGUGCUAUUUCACACACCAACUGUCUCCUGACCACAUCACCAUACAACCCAUUUUUAUGUUUUCCUUCACAGCUCAACUUUGCUAGAAGUUUUUCCAUCAAGAACUUACUGUGUUAAAAAAAGAUUUUUUCUUACAGAAAAAUGUCCAACUUUGUUUUGUACUGUAAGAUUUCCAAAACAAGCAUAAAGAAAGUGAGAUGGUUAAUUUUGCUUUGUUCCUGGUACUUUGUUUAGCCUGUCGCAUGCUGCCUUGUGUUCUUUGACUGACCAAACAUGCACUGUUUGAAGAACAUCCUGUAAAAAAGAAUUGCGAGUUUUCUCAAAAUAAACUUCAACAGAUUUUCUACUCAGCAUAAAGUUUCAUGUUGUAGCCAUAUUUAGGAUGAAACAACAUUGGCACUCCUUGCAUCUUGCACACAGCCCUCUGCUUGCACUUCACUGAGCAGGUCUCUUUUCUCUGUCCUUAAUCAGAAGCAUAUAUGUUCUAAUGUAUACAGAGAUGCUUUGAUACACUUCUUAUGUUGUCCUCUUCAGUGAGGCAGCUUAAUGAAAAAAAUCCUGGCAAAUAAACUACAUCUAAAUCACCCUAAAAGUUGGAACUCUACAUAAAAGUUCUGGAAUUCAAGACUAUGGUGGAAGCUGUGACAUCAACUCAUGUAAAACAGUCAUUCUGUAUUACUCAGCCUUUUUACGUGGUAGGAAUUAACUGUGUGUCAAGGAGCAUCACAGAGCCAAAAAUCAACCCCUCUGUUUUGAAAGCUGAGUGUGACUGGAGAAAUCUCACUCUGCUUUUCCAUUUGGUGCCUUUUAAGCUUUACCCCAUUCCUUCUGCAUCACAAUGAAAUGACUGCUGGCAUGUGAUCAGAAACUCAGAAAUCCUGGCUCCCUAUCAACUUACAAAAAUUGACCUGGACAUUUUAUCCACUUUGAUGAGAGCAUGAAUGAAACUUAUUUCUCGUUCAUUCAUAAGGAAUGCUGCUGCUUAGCACCAGCACAAGUACUUCACUUCAUAACCCAUUGAGGAAAAAUUGUUGAAAUUAGUACAAAUAUCCUACCUGCUACCUGAAUCCUAUCCAGUAUUUUGUAGUGACAGUCAAAAUAAAUCACAAGUGGUUGGAAUAAUAUCCUAUCUCUUCAUUUAAGUCUUGGUCCAACUACCACUGAAAUUAAAUAGGUUUUUCUGUUGAUCUGAAUGGAGGUUGGACUUCAGGAUCAGAAGAGUUAUCUGAACAUUGAACACUGCAGCCAUCCCAUGCCCUUCAUUGGACUCCUGGACAUUUGCCUUCUAACGUAAAACCACAACUUCUACAAAAACACUUUUACUUCAAGUAUUCCUGGUUUCUCUCUGUUGCGAAAGAUAAGUUUGUCUUGCUUAUGUGAAAUAAAAGUGUGUUUGAUGACCAAGAUCCUAUUCCUAAACCAUGGUGCACAGUGAAUCUGUCCACAGACCUCCACCCAUCUGGUGCUGUGCUGAGCAGGUGACUGGCCUAAGCAUCCCUUAGAAACCACACUGCUGUCAGCUGUAACAGGCUUGUCCACCCUGUGCAAUUCACUCCAGAGAGCAACAACAGGCUCCCUACACAGGUCUAUCAGAAAUCUAUCUAACAGAAACUCAUCAUUAGCAGAUAAACAGCCCAAGCUCUAGGAACCUCUGAUAAUUAUUCUGUUUGCAAAGAAGAGGUCUGUGUUGAAGCUAUUUUCUUAUUUUUUACUUUCCCACCCAACGAAGAACAUCAUUCUUAAAACAAGGUGAACUGAAGGAAUCCAAGCUACAAAUCAAACAGCUACAAGUAGCAAAACCAUCUCCAGAGAGAAUUCCAGUCCAUGAGGUCAACAGCAGCUACUUAGUAGGGAAAGCACCGCUUAUCCCAGACAUGCCUGUUCUGGUGCACUGAGGUACCAGCUGCAGUGCUGCUUGGCAUCAGCAGCAAACCUGGUACAGAAUAGGCUGGAUCAGCAAGGGAGCCACAUAAACUGGACUGCAGUGCUAAGAGAGGUUAUACAAAGCCAGUGCAAACAUGAAUAUCAGCGUUUGUUUUUCCACGUAUGUUGUGGAUAAUUUAGCUGUUUACCUGACAAAUCUGUAAACCUUAUAGUUUCUUCAUCCCAGCAGAACUGCUGAAUAGAUUUUCAGACCAUGAGUUGUUGAGAGUGUGCCUUUUGAUACGGACAUUCCAAAUGCUAAAAGGAAACUUUCACAUUUGGUACAGCAAAAAUCUCACACAACUACAACAAGAGAUCCCUCCAAGGUGACUCAUGGCUGAUAACCCUGCUGGAAGGAUACACAAACAGUCUGACUUGGGACAAGGCUGUAAAUAUGAAGCGUGCUUCCUGCAAACCUAUACUCAUUUUGGAAGACUAAAACACAGAAUUAAGUUGUACUGUCCAGCUUCAAUCUUAACAAUGGAAAACUCAGCUGUUUUGCAAAAGCACUGACUUGUAGACCAGACACAUCACCCAAACCUUGUGAACUUCUGUCAGUCCAGAUAGAUUAAUAUUGGUCAAAACUAGUUAAAAAACGCUGUCUUGCUCUCUAGCAACAAAGUACAUACAAAAAGCCACUCUGAAUUGCAACCCUCCACUUCACAUAGCACUUGGAAAAGUCAAGUCCGGAGCAGCAGUAGACAGAGAAGAGGGUUAUGGAUUCUGGUGUAUACUGUCAGAGCACUGUUUAUUCUAAUCAAUCAACUGAAAAAGUAGCAGCUGAGAGUAAUUAUUAAUAAUCAAGUAAAAUUGGAUUAUUUCUCUGCACUGCAGUGAUGUCUGGAUUGAGAGGCUGGUAUAGAAAAAGUUCAUCAGAGCAAGCUACUGCGGUAAAAUUGCUGACCUCAGCAGUUCAUCAGAGAAGGUGGAAAAGGGAACCUCAACUAAACAUAUGGACAUGCUAUCUGCUCAGCAUGAGGUAUAACAAAAAUAAUUAUUGGAAGACAGCUGAGUCUAGACAGUCAAAUCAUCAUAUAGCCAGCCGUAUAUCCAAGUGACAGCAGUAAGACCUACUGCCAAAGCUUUUCAGUUCUGAGGGAUUUGUUUUUCGUGACUCUUCAUUCCUGAAAGCAGUCAGCUCCCCAUUCCAGAUAUACUGCCUGUAAGGAAGGGCGGUUGGAUCUUGUCUGAAUAUGUUUUGCCCUCUGUGCAUCUGUGGUCUUGGUUGAUCUUAUUCUCAAGCAAUGGAAUGGAAACAUUGCUUUAUACAAUGCACACAAUGUACGCAUGCAAUAUGAUUAAAUAUACAUCAGAAAGGAACGCUAUACCAAACACUGCAGUAUACUUGAGUCUGGAUAUUCUAUGUUUGCUUAAAACAACCACGAUGUGGCACCGCACAGAGAUAUUCUUAUCCGCAAACACUGAACUGUGACUAAAUAACUCACACUGUUACUGCAAAAGCAAUGGCUCAGCAACUUCAUUAACAAACUUGUAGACAAAACUAUAUUAGCCGUUUGUGCCCAUGAGUGCCUUAUCCAUACAAUCACACACAUACCUUCUAAGUGCUUUGCAGACAAAAUUUAGGAGCCUUCAUUUGAAAAUUUAACUCAGAUUCAGUAUUAACAGCCGCACUGGGUAUAAACCAGAGUGAACCUUCCCUUGCAGUAAACGGAAUUGUAUCAAUUCACAACAUUUAAGCUGCAAACCCCGAACUGAGGAACACUGCCCACUUACAUGGGGAAUACACUGCUGCUACUGGAGGAGGCAGAAUUUGGAGUUCUUUGACAUCUGUGUGUGCCAACCUCAGCCAUGGAACAACUGAAUUACCACAGCAAAUGUUUUCUAACAACUUACUAAUUACAUUUUCAAACUAAAUAUUUACUUCUAUCAUGAGUAUUUUUUUUUUUUAAUCAUCAACAGAAUCUGUUAUUUCCCCAUUAACUUUAGCAAUUUCUUAAAUGAAAAUAAUCUUUUACUUAAAGGGUGCAGGGCAGAAUCUUGAGAAUUUCAGUUUCCUCAGAACUUCUGGAUGAUACAGAAUGCUACACAACCCCCCAACAUACAUCUUACAGAAAUGAAGGAUCCGAUGAGCAAAGGCUUUUCCUCAUAACCUGCAGCAAAACACUGCUUUCAGCAUCCCACUGCAAAUGCCAGGUGCAAUGGUCUACUUAUUUCUAACAUUCAUUAUUUUCUCCAUUUCAGGAAGUGAGAAGGGAGAUGUAGUUUAAUGUUUUUCUUUGAGUCAGAUCAGUCUGGAAAAGUUUUGAUAGUGGGGAUCAUCUACCAGAAUAGCAGAGUACCAUUAAUUCUGCAAUGUUAAUGUCUGCUUUAGACAUCAGUGCACACAGCAGCAGGUAGGAGCAGGAUGAGGGGAAACAGUGCUGGAUAGUCAGCACUCUGGGUUCUCUGCUUGUGUGGGAAGAAAGGGUUAAGCUUGCCUUGAGGUUCACUUUGCUGUGCCCGGUUUGUGCAAGGCCAGAAAUCAAUCAAUUGCACUCUCUCUUCUCCUUUUCUUCCUGGGAACCAUUGCAGGAAUAUCGUGCUCAGGAUCUUGUUUAAAUCCACGACUCUUCUCUGUCAAGUCAAUUCCUCCUAUCCUCCCUCAAGCCCCCCCCCAACAACAUCCCCUCCCCUCUCCCUGAAAAUGGGUCUUCUGAGCUCGUUUUGCUAAUGUAUUCUCAAACCAAAUUAGGGGCCCUGACUCUCGGUGAAGUUCGUGAGUUAGUCGCCGCGAUGCACUGAAUUAAAGAUACCAUCUCGGACUCAAAUCAGAUUAGAGCCCACACACACACAUGCAAAGGCCCACUUUCUAAUCAAUUUUAUAAAGGGCCUUCAGCAGAGAUACACUAAUGGUAUUGAGCUAAGAUCUUUAAACUAAGUCUGCAAGAAGUCUGCGGAGAUAAAACGCACACUGUAUUAAAGAGAAAGCUCUUCACUGCGCCCUUUCCACUGGGAAUCCAGCGCACACUGGAAGAGCACCUCACAACACAAAGAAGCUCUCCUGAACCCAAGACGUCCCCUCCCACCCUCCUCUGUUGUUUUCCUCCUUCAGACCUUCAAGUCCUUUCUUUCACUUACUGUCAAGCUGCAGCAGAAGAUUCCUGCACAGCAGGCAGAGGACAUGGGAACUACGAUGCCCUGGUAUGUGCUAGGAAUUAGACAUAAUGAAAACAUGCAGAUCUUUUUAGGCCUUUUCCAUAAAUCUAUAAUCAGUGGGCAAGUGAUCAGCUGCUUGGGUUCAAUUAGACUUCCUACUUCAAUGCAGCUGCCCUGCAAUCACAGACAAGAUGCGAGGCACUGCCACCCUGGUUGGUGCAUGUAACUGGGAUGGCCACAGCAGCCGCCUGCAGAGAUGUAACAGUCACUGUAUGGCAAGGGGCUCCCCUUAGAGCAGUAGCUGUGCACACCUGGUAUCUUCACAUCCUCCUGUCCUCAUGUAUCUCUGGUUAGCAGUAGAAAGUCUCAUGUGCGGCAUCACAUUUAGCUCUCCGAAGCCAACUCUCUGAACUGAAAUGUGGAGCCCAGAAAAGGAAGAGCAAGAUAACAUAAAAAAAAUUGUUGGGCAAGAUUGCCCACAGAUGGUGGCUUUGAAGGGAAGGCAGAAGAAAGAGUUUAUAAAAGAAGCUGAAAUUGGUGAUUUAACAGCCCAGCAGUUGCUUGGUCACCAACAGACAGAGAAGAAAAGCCAACUAAAGACUGUGUUUGCAAAGUGUUCUGUGUCAGACUGGGAAGUAAUUUUUUGCUCUGCUUCAAUAUUAUCAGUAAAAGCACCUCAAAAUAUUUCACACACUACAAAGUCAUAUCUCAGAAUCCAACAUCAGUCUUUGUAGCUACUCACUUUCUAAGAUGCUGCUUCUAAGAAAAGGAUGAGCAAACCUACUAAGGUAGCAGAAAACCUGUGUCUUAACAACAAUCCCAUCAAAAAUAGGAAUUUCUCUUUAGCUAUGAGAAAAAAAUGCUUCUAAGAUUCUUAAAAACUCUCAUAUGCUCAAGAUUUUCUUGGUUUCUGAAACUCUACCUAGCUAAUUGAAUCGUGAGAUUCUGCAUACACAGCAGAAACUCCCCUCAAAAUAUUGAUGGAAAUACAUCAAACACAACAUACAUUUCUCUGACUAGCUAACAUACACAUUAGCCUAACAACACACUGGAAGGAAUGACUUGAACUUUCAGAGGGCCAGCCUUGAAAAAAAGUGAGCCUUCCUUGUGAUUUUUGGACAGGUGACAGCUCCUAGAGCUGGGCAGGACACCAGUGUCCUCCUGCAGCAGAGAAAACCCCAACAGCAACAAUCUUCCAAGAUCUUGAGCUCCGCCACACUAUUAGCACAGAACAGUUUCUCAGAGCUCAGAUGGGCUCUGCUCUCCCUGAGACUGCUUCAGGCCUCACACUGCUGUGGAGUUUUAUAAUGUUCAUGUGCUGAGGACGAUGCCAGUUUUCAAUGCAAUUAACCUUUACAGCCUAAUGAAAUGGCUCUACUGGCUAUGGUGGCAGCAAGGAGCCCCUUGACACUGGCAGGCUCCUGAGGAUGGCUUAUCAAGGUUGCAGAGCAUCACUGCUCCACUUCUAUCUGCAGGCUGCAGCUAAUCAAUGCCAGACCUGAAAGGAGCAGGCAAUGCCAGCCCCAGCACCGCACUCCAACGCCAUAUUGAUCUCUGGGAGGAGAGGGGACUUGAGUCUGCGCCCACUGAUCUGCUGUGUCACAGGCAGCAUUCUUCCAGGAACGUACUAGGUAGCAGAAGCACCCAGCUGGGAGAAAGGGGAAAAUUCCUCAGGUGGGAAAGAGUUACCUCAUAUAUGAUACCAUAUCAGCAAACUGUCCCAUGGCUUAGCAGACCUUGCUCAGUGAAAAAGAAAGAAAGGAAAGAAGAGCUACCAAUAAGCUGGGCUUAGAACCGGGAAGUCCCAGGUUUCAGUAAAGAGUCAGAGCCAAGCCAGAAAGGUAGGAAAAACUGGGAGAUGGGCUAAGAAAAAAAACACCAAAACUCUUUAGACUCCAAAAGACGGCAGAAAAGAGAAACAAAAAACAGGUUCUGGUAACUGUAAAUCAAAGGCAAUCUGGAUCAGUUUGCAGCAGAUCUGCAUCAAAAGGAGACUUUCAACAGGUAAGCAGGAGAAGCAAGAAAAACACUGUGUCCUUUGUCUUUGGCACAGAGUAUGAAUAGAUCCAGGGCAUGGACAACACAAUAUAGAUGCUGCCAGGGCAAAAAGGUCUCUGAAAUUAAUGCUUACGCAUGCAGUGCAAUACAAAGGGACCUGCUCUCAAAGGAGGAUAUUUUCCAGAACUGCAGAAUGCGCUUAUCUCCAUAUCUGAGUGUGAAAAUCAGGACCGCAGGUGCAGCAUAUAUUUAUACAUACACAAAUAUAGGAGCCUGCUUGUAAAGAGGCAAAGGCUUCUUUACCAUUCAGUCCCAAAUGAGCAGGAAUGCUCCCAUAUUUCUCUGACCUAUGUCAAGGUAGAACACAUACACUUGCGUGGCACAUAAGAUUUCAUCUAGACUAUAGAGACUGAAACUAAAGGACUUGGUAUGUGGCACCCAUUUUCAAGAAUUUCUUUCCACUAAAGCAAAAAUAGAGAACAAUCUGAUUUGUGUGACUGUGAUAGGGCUAGCUUUAUCAUUAAAUACAUUACUGUCAUUUAAAAAGUAUUUCACAGACCCAAAGCGUUCAUCUCAUUAAAGUAUCUUCCCAUAAGAACUUGGAUUCCAGAGACAGAUUAAAGAAAGCAGAUAUUUCAAUCCACAAUUUACCAGCAGGGGAGAGAAUCAGGGACUUAAGUCUUUGCUCAGAUCACCAAAGGAACUUAUAGAAGAGCUGGGAACUGGGCUUUGAUCCUGAUCCCAGAUUUGUAAACAUUCAGCUUCUUUAUGAAACAGAAGUUAGGAGAACAGUAGAAUCAGAAGACUUACUUUGCAUGCUUCCAAGAGCAUGGAGUAUAUUUAAUUUAUUGGUAGGGACAGAAUACCACUGAAAAUGAAAUACCUUUUUAUUAAAAACCAGCAAUAACCACCACUCAUCACAAAACCUUUAAAAUUUGCUCCAAAACUCAUGCUAAAAGUACAUCUAAAGAGUUGUCAGGAUUUUUUUCUUGUUCCUUUGUGAAAUGUUUGCUUACAUUUAUUUUCAUUUAUCUUAAGAAAAAGAUCAUUUUCACUGAGAAAUGAAAACUACACAAGGACAACUCAUUUUGGCACAGCUAGGAAAAAAAAAUCAAUUUCCUCAAGUUAAAGUUUUACUCUUUCCUUGGAAAAAAACAAAAAAAAAUAAAAAAACACCCUAGAGAGAAUUCCCACCUGCUGGGAACAUGAACCAGAUAGCAAAAUUCAGCUCUCAAGAGCAGAAACUUCCACCUGAGUGUCUGUAGAAGGAAGCAAACAAGGAAGGGAUCCCUCCCUGUCAGGCCAGAAAGCAUCAACUCCGCUCUCUGUGAGCACCACAGCUAGGUUUGGGGAGUCUGUGCUGCCAUCUUCAGGGAUGCUCGCUUUUUUCCAUGACCCAAAAUCACAAAUGAAGGCAAACAAAAAGGAAAGAAUUUCAACAUACAGAAAGAAAACAAGAAGACGACAGCUCCGCUCUUUUCCCUCCAAGACUGCUGGGUGCCUUGCGGAGAAUCAUGGAAACUAAAACUGGGAGAGCCAAAUAAAUCCUGCCUCGUCCAUACAUUCCCAGGCUGCAGUAAAGCUAAUCAUCGGUGCCUAGACCUGUCUUUUUCCUCUCUCUUCUUCUAAUCCAGAAUGGGAUCGGGUGAUUAUUCAGAGUACCUCAAUAGCAGAUGCUCAGUUGAUGCUAACUAACCAUCUUCUUUACAAAGCAAUUUCAAAAAGACAGAGAGACCCUGACCCCUUCCCACUGGGCUGAAUUAAAAUGAAACAGUUAAUUGUGUGCCCACAGGGUACUCAAAGUCCUGUUUUGUGAGAACAUAUCACAGGCAUUCAAAAGUUUCACGUACAUGUUAUUCUUCCUGAGACUAAACAGCUAGAUUUGAGAGGCUGUGGGGAUAAACGCUGCACAAUAGCAAAGGUAAAUUGAAGAGGACAAAUCAGAAUCUCCUUGUUUCGUAUUGUUGUCGUAUACGUUUCUCAAAUCAUUCUAAAGUGCCCUUUGAUGUCUGCAACUCUUUUUUUUUUUUUUUUUAAAAAGGACAACCAAUCCUACAGAGCUGUGAACUCUUUGUCAUUUCUCUGAGUUUUUACCUUGUCACAAGUAUUUUGCAUUUUCUUUUCCCAAAAUUGCUUCACAGGCUCUCAGGCACAGCAUCUUUGCGUAUCACAUAUUACACAACAAAAUUCAACUUAUCAGUACUGUGUUUUCAGGUUGAAAAUCAUGUCUCUGUCCCUCAACUGCUAUGCUGGGGCAGGACUUUCUUUGCUGGUCAUAACACUGACCGAGUGGGAGCCAUGCUCUUCAGAUCUCCAUUGCCCUCUGGCCUCACUGCCCCCCUGUAAAUAUGACUGCUCCACGUUCUCAACACACCUACAUGACAGAAUAAGAAAUAAUGUUUUUAUUCAAAUUAAGCACCAACUAUAAGCUUCUACGUAGGUCAGUAUAAUGGCUGAAGGUUAGAGAUAUAAAACUGCACCAUCCUGUUUUAUUAACAACCCAUUCUUGCUUAAAGCUUUUGGCUUUGUAUUUUAUUUCACCUAGGAUACUGUUAUUACCUCACAAAAUUGAAGACUUCCUUUUUGAUCCACUUAGGUCAUUUUUAAAAAAUGAUGAUUGACACUGAGCUUGAAGCAACCUGUAGCACUUUUCAACCACAAGGACUUAAGCUGCUACUCAAAAUGGCAUGUACAGUAAGGGACCAUUCCACUCAUCUGUUUCUGAGGCCUAACACGUGCAGCCCAGGCCCAAGAACUGAAAGAAGCUUUACAUCCUGUUGAGACUGUAACAGAAAGUGCCAAGCUGAGAUGUCGGCAACAACUCUAGGUCUCCUAACAGAAGAGACUCCUACUGGAAAAGCUGACUGAAGAGAACAGAAAGCAGCCGCUUUGCUGAUGGAUUAUUUUUAAGCCAUUUCACAAGAUUUAAUAGACAGUUUCUCCUCAGAUCAUGCUAGCUCUUUUGGUGAUCCAUCACCAGCCUGAUCCAUCUGUUUUGAGCACCUUUCCAACAUGCACCUGCCUUUCUCCAUGCCUCACUUCACAACGGACUGGUUGACACUGCCUCACAGCCAGCACCCACAACACUUCCCUCUACAAGACCUGCACUACUAGAAGCACUGACAGAGAGCAGCUCACUAACGAUGGGUGAGAUGCACAAUGAAGGACUCACACUGCCAUUUCAAAAUCUUCCUAAAACAUAAAUGCACUCACAGUCAAUAAGAUUGUGCAUAUUGCUUUUCUUUUUCCCAAUCCUAGCUUGCUGCUGGGCUAGGGGAAAAAACAGAACUAGCAAAGCCUUUAUUCUCUUGAUUUUCUGAUCUCUCUGCCUUGGUGCCUCCUCCCUGCUUUCUCUACUCGUGCCAGGCCUCAGGGCAGCACACCUCUCAGCACACCUCUCGCAGCAGGCAGCAUGCCGCAGCCCAGCCCUGGGAAGAGGCAUUCCUGGUAUUGUCCUUGGGGAGACUGCAAAGCUGUCCAAGUCCGAAUGCAGUUGGGGAGGAGCUCAGCACACUGGGUUUAUGGGGCUGCACAGAGAGACAGACACAUGGCCAGAUCCAGAGGGGACAGCAGCAGCUUGUGCCGGCCACUGCAGAGUGGCACGAGCAGAGCCAGCACGAGGCAGGUUACCCGAGCAGCGCUUCGGGUGGUGCAGUAAUAUCAGCUUCGCACUUUCAUGAGUGCUAAGUUCACACAAAAAUGUUUUUUUUUUUAAACCCACCACAGGCGAUUAAGCUGUGAUCUAGAUUAAUUAGCUGCCAUAUUUCAUUUUUAAAACCAGAACCGUCCUGUGCUGACACUGAGGAAACUUACAAUUUUUUCACUCGUACCUAACGGCCUCUGGUUUUUCACUGCCUGGAGGCAAAGGGCUGCUCUCAGCCGCACACCGCUAGGCCAGGCUGCACUGCACCCACAGCCGGCAGCCAUCUUGCCGUGCUCCUGGGACAGGUCAGGGUGGGGAACCAGAGAUCUCCUAAUGGAAGUGCUGACCCUGCUGUAACUCACGUGCCCCAAGCAGCAUUGAUUCGGUGUUGAAAACAAAAGAUUGAUGAAUUGUAUAAUGUACUUUUACCACUGUUAAUUUUUCUGAGUGCUGCUGGUUGGUGUCUCCUGGAGGCUAACAGGCCCCUUUGGCCACACAGCAGUAUUUACUCCAUCACCACAUCUGGAAGCAAAAGCUGUGUCCUUGUCCUUCUGAGGGAUAAGGGAUUGUGACAACGCACAUCAAAGAAAGGACGCGUCUCACAGAGGUACAGCAUUUCUGCAUGGAAACAGGGUUCACCUUCUGCCUAUUUCCUGUGAAGGUCUUUCACUUUGCACCUUUAAAUCCCUAAAUAAAGAGGAGACAAGCAACAAUCCUGCUUGCGCAACAUCACAGAUUAGCUCUACCAAAACUGAGACGCUAGACUCUCCUCUUCAGCCCUAUUUUACUCCCCAUCCAUUAAAAUUACAACAAAUGCUGUUCGGUCCACCUCUCCAAAGCACCAUUUAACAAGGAGGCAACAGGUAGUGCUCGGUAAUCCUGCAACACAGCACUAAGACUUGAAACCAGCAACAGCCUGUAGAAUGAGCCAGAAAAAUCUUUACAAAUUGGUUGUAGUCCUCAGUUUCCUCCUUUUCCAGCUCAUUGAAUGUGAGAUGUUUUUUCUCCCAGGGUUAUUCUAUAAUAUUUCUAUCACACCAAAAAGUACACCUGAGCUAUUCCUUCUUUCACACUAAGUCACUGUUGCUCUAAUUCACACCCAAGGCUGCACAGGUCUCCCACCCCACCGCACUGUUUCUGCCUUCUCCGCUCCCUUGGAGCAGAAGAGCCGCACAGGCCUCCUACCAGCUGCUGAUGUGCAUCUUCCUUCUGUAGUUGCAGGGAUGCUAAAUACACUGUAAUAAAUCUCCUCAUCCCACGGGAACAGUUCACUUUCCUCAGGCCCCAUGACAUUACACACAGCAGCUCUUCCCAAUGUCAAAAGCACCAUUUCAAAGCUGCUCUGCCCUCUGAAAGAUCCUGCUGCCCUAUUUCCCUACUCCACCCUGUGCAGUUUGCCCCUCACACCACCCAGCUCUCAGGUUCCCCGCAAUAGGUGCUUGCAGCAGGCUCUGCUCUCAGCCAGCAACAGAGGACACUGAAGGGCUGUCAGGUGGGAGGGACCCUGUGUGCUGGCAUGGGCAGUCUUUGCAUGUGUGCCUCUUCCUCGCCUCACAAGGACAUUGCCUCACUUUCCCUUUGUGGCGGAGAGACAAAGAAAGAGUCCACAAAAUUGAAGGAAAGCCCAUUUCCAGUCAAAUGGUCAUACAGUGCCUGUUGAAUUAAAAAGGUGAGAGAGAAACACAGCAGUAGUUUUGCAAGGUUUGACCCCAAUUUUUAGGCAAAUCCUCAUUCAAUUUUAAUUUUAGCAGAACAAACCUACACAUAUGCUAGAAUUUUUUUUUUCUCUCCCUGUCAUCCACCCUUCCCUUAAAGCUCCUGUAUCCAAAUUCCAGCUUACUGCGGGAAGAAAUGGUUCUAUAUUUUCAGUGCACAUUCAGUAGUUUAAAUGAGAAAAGUGGUGAGAAAUACACUUUUCCUACUAUGCUGCAGAAAGAAACCUUAGCUAAGGCAAGACACACACAGUGACUGCUAUCUUCGGCUUUUCAUUCACCAUUGCUCUGUCACAGUGUGAGCUCAAGCUUCAUGACCCAGGUGUUAUCCUUGCUUUUCUCCCCUCCAGCUCACCAUCUCCAGACAAACACAGCUCACAGUAGAAGGAUACUGUUUACAACCCAACAUGCUCAAGGAUCAUGCCGCACCAUCAACUCUCCUUUGGAUCUCCAGUCUAGAGCAGCAGGACACUGCCUGACAUUGCUUUACACAUUUCCUAGCAGCAUCAGAGUUUUAACAAUACUACAGAAUCAGAUGGUGUUAUAUUCCCUACCCACAGGUGAAUAUCAGGGAGCUUUUGCUUAAGGCACAGUUACAUUUGCCUUCCAUUUUUUUCUCUGUUUUUUCUAUUGUCAUAAAGAUGUAAUUGCUGUUGAGUUUGAUGGCAUUUACAUAUAUUUUUUAAAAAGAGCUUGAAACAAGGUUCAGGUCUGAACAGUUGUCUUGUUCUAGUCUCCUUUUUCCUUCGCACAGGCCUUCUUCUUCCACAGGUUUCAUCUUCUCAAAUUUGGCAAAGGACAUUCUCAUCUAGAGCUCUCUGGAAUUCUCCACAUGCUGGAAUGCUUCUUUGGAGACCUCUUUCACUCUUCUCUGCUGUGUUUUUAUCCCAAUAAUAUUCUUUGCAACUUCAGCAAGUUCACACUUCACCUCCUCUCACACCUCAUUUGGCAUUUUGUCCUCUGUGCAUUUUAGCAAUGCAUCAAACUGCUCCCCAAUUACCACUAUGCAGCCUUCCCCAACAAACUCCAAAUUAUUCCCAAAGGGCUGAAAGAAUAAUUUCAUGCAUUGGAAGCAUAAAACUUGAACUCUGAAGGAAGUAGCCAGUGAUCUGAGGCACUAGCAGCACCUGGCAGUCUUAGAUGAGGAAAAUGACACCCAUACAAAGCUGUAGGGUUUUAUUGUUUAUUUUCCCCUUCAAUACAAUCUCUUAUAUCAGUUCUUAUAUAUUUCCUGUGAUGUUGAGUUGAAUGGCCUAAUAUUAAUGCUGUGCCAGUUUCACACUUUCCAUAUGCCACCUGAAUUUGACAGUUACUUGUCACUUAAGUAUAAAUGACAGACAAUUGAGAUCCAAAGCACCUUAGAAGACAGUUUUAAAAGAAAGUUCCCAAACAUGCUUGAAGCUUGUAGAUGGCUUCUUCAUCUUGUGGCUUCUGCUUGUCUCGUUUCCCAUAUAAAUUCUUAACACCAGCCUCUUCCUUCAACAACACUGACAACAUUUCAUGGUUGUUAGUUGCUUUCAGAUGAUGAAGUGACCUGAUAUAAAUUACCUAUUGCUGCAAGUGAAAGAGAACGUAUGAGCACAGCAGUUGCUCCUAGAAGGCAGGCAGCAAGUACUGCCUGUAUUGUUACAGGCAGAAGGUUUUCUAUCAUUGUAGAAGUUUUUUUAAUCUGAUUUCCUCCUCAAAGAUUUUUCUCUAUGAUAUCAAAGGUGGUUUUUUUUUUGUUUUUUUUUUUAAUGGCUCAGUAGUCCACAUCAUGAAAAGUGGCAAACCUUUAUCCUAACUCUCAUACUGGUGAUGUAUCAAAGAUGCAGUGAGACCACUCCAAUGUCACUGUACCAGAAGAAACAAGAGACACUGAGGACUGGGGCCAGAGGUCAAAACAAGGCAAUCCAAAAAUGAAUGGAUUACUCUCUUUUAAAUCUGCACUUAAUUGUUGCUCACUGCUUUUCAUUUACCCUGUUAAGAAAACAAUCAUAUAAAGCCACUUACUAGUAAGGAAAAAGAUAAAGAGACUAUUUCAAACAAGUAUGGUGAUAUUAAUAGUAUACAAUGCAGACAAGGUACAUUCUAGACUCGGUGAGAAAUUAGCUACAUAAACUCCCGUAUCUCCUGAUGAGACAGAAUUGAUGCUCUCAAUGAAGCGGUUAUGAAUUUCAAGCCAAAGUACCAUCUGUGGAUUCUUAACACAGGCUGCAGUAGCCCCACAAUUCAGAUCCUGAUGACCCAGUUACUCUCCCAACUGCUCAUCACCUACACAAGAUGUCACAAUACACUGCCCAUGAACCAGGUAGGGAAUACUGCUCCUUCACAGAGGUUUAACCUCGAUGAAUCUAGAAUGUCUAGGUGUCACAUUAUUAGGGACAGACUGACAAACCAGAUACUUUAAGACAGCAGAAAAUGGUUUGAUAGGCUCAAAUAUGAAGAAAAUCAUGCGAUUGCUUCAUUUAGGAAACAAACAUGUCAAAAGAAACAAACACAUCAAAAGAAGUAAACACAUCAGAGAUGCACUCAUAAAGAUGGUAAUGUAUUUCUCAAAGGCUGCAAGGGACUAUGAUGGGAAGCUACGUUUUUCCUCUCCUAAUCAAGCUUCUUUACAAUGAGAUCUCCAUAGCCAGGAGAAUCACUCCUUGGUGGACAUCACGGUGACAGCUUCCAAACACUGUAUUCGCAGGAUGAGGAACAGAGUUUGCAGGAUAUGACCUGUGAGGAAUGUCACAAAGUCUCCUCAGAGGCUUCAAAAAAAAUCCAUGAAGAUGGCAACACUCUCCUAAUACAGCAAUAAGAGCACCGCCAAGGUGCCCAGGAGAAACCCACGUAUACUUUUUAGAGGACAAAAUAAUCUGAAUGUUUCUAAAGAGCCAGGCUGUGAAAAGAAAGGUGUGAUGGUUGGUCCCACCCAGCCCCACAGCCCCCGAGCAGCAAUGUGCAGUACUGUUGGGUAGGGCCCUGCACAUGGCUGCUGAGCUCUGUCAGCUCCCACCUGCACUGCAGCCACGGACAGGUGGAGGUAAAGCCUCUAGCCAUCCUCCAAUGAGGAAAGUCAAUCUAUUCUCCUUUCAAAGGACAGUUCUAUCUGUGCUGCCUUUAUUUAUACCCACAUUGAACAGGCAAGUCACCUGCAGGCUGCAUAUCAGUGUUGUUAACCUCCCGAGGAUCCAUGUUUGCAUGUUUUCCCCAAACAGCUGAAAGAUGGAGAUGCUGAGGCUCUUCAGUGUGACAGCAAAGUUCUCUUAAAGGAGGUGAAAUUGUCUCUUCAAGAUGUUUUUCCCACCAAGGCUGUAUAGUUCUGGGAAUUUCUUCUGGAGUAGGUAUUUGAAAGGAUUCAUCCACAUCUCCUCUUGCCCACUGGCCUCCUCCUUCUCUACCCAGAUAUCCCAUCUUCUUCAUGUAGCCCAUAUCAGGCUCAAGCACUGUUGCUGAAACAAGCCACCUACGUCCACUGGUUUCUCUUAACCUCUAACUUUAGCACUAAAAUUUCUUUCUUUUUUUUUUUUUUAAAUGAAGUCUUCACCCCUCUGCUUCCUCACAGAGGUGUUGCACAGCAGAUUUCUCUGAGAACAGGGUGAAGUUUAGCAUCAGAAAAUUUUGGCUGUAAAUUCUUCCUCUGUCUCAAGGGAAUAAUGAGUUUUCCUGUGCCCACUUUGUGCCAGCUACCUGCUUUCAGCAUCGAACAGCCUGAUGUCUGUACUGAAUACUGUGCUACGGUCAGCUAACCACCAGAGGCAAGCUGAAGCUCCGUGCAAUUUGGUGCCUUCCUUGAAAAUGCCAGCCAUAGGAAAGCAUCACAAACCAUUCACAUAUGGUAUUUACCUGGUCCCUUUUCAAUCUACAGAUUUCUGAAUCAAAUAAAUAAUAAAUUAUCUCCUGAGAGGGAGUCAAGAACUUAUAAUAGACACCAACCACCCAGCCUCUUUUAAUCCAUCCAAUAUUAGACUCGUUAUUCAUCGGGAUAACAAUCCUAUUUGCAAAUCAGCUACCUUUAUCAGAUAACCAACAGGAGCUAGUACAAUAUCUAUUAGUCCAACAAUAUCAGCACCAAGAUAUAUAACUGCUUCUGUACAAAAACCCUUCUUCUAAUCCUUCUUAAACUCAACAAGACUGAUUGGUUUUUAUUAUUCAUGAAUUAAUUUUUAACUCUUGCUCCAACAGAAUUGAAUGUAUAACAUCUUGCAGAGAUCGAGGCAAAGAAACAGUAUGCUAAAAAAGCAGACCAUCCGAAAGCAGGUUUUUGUUUUUUCUUUCAACAAACAGCUGAGGGGGAGAAGCUGCAUCUAUUUUUCCCUAAACACCUAGGCAAAAAUUCUAAGGAAUACGAGUGCAUUAAAAGUGCACAAAUACUACAUCGGUGUACUGCAUGAGCUUUUGGUCUUUCUUUCAUAAAUACGCUCUUAAAAAUAGCUAUGGAACUGAAUUGGUCGAUAGUUAUAAAAAUAAGUCCAUAUUAGAACAUGAACUCAAAUGGGGAGAUUCCUACAGAGAUGGUCUGUAGUAUUAACUGAUUAGUUAGGGCUUACAGCUUCUUCUGCAAUGACAGUUCCCCAGCUAUAACUGCUAGAAGAAAAGCAACUGCUUUGUUCUAAUUUAAAAAAAAAUACAACCAAAGGAACAAAAAAGAGAAUAAUCAGAAACACUGUAGUUAUUGGAAAAACCACAAAGCACAUCCCAUCAAACAAUUUCCAAAGCAAGGAAUUCCAUAAAGGAAACAACCUACAUUCUGUGUCCUGCAAAAACAAAAACACAUCAAAAAGAAAAAAAAAGUUUCCAAAAUAGCCAAAAAUUGAACAAACAACAUUCCAAACACCUGACUUCUCUGGUUAUGCCACAGGAGCCCAGCUUUAUCUUUAUAGCUGGAUCUGUGCCUUGCAAACUGUUUUUCAAAUUCCUCCACGGCAUUUUAUUCAAAGAAAACCUUUGCUUACCUUUAAAAAUCACACAUUCUGACAUGUAUUGGUUUAUAAACAGAGCAUCUAUUGCCAGUUGUUUGACAGCACCUAACCCUAAAUACUCACUAUUAUGUCUAUUAAGUUGCAACAAAAGCGCCAAGUAUUUAUUUGAGCACAAAUAGUGCGUAUGGCAUACUUGGAUGGCAUUCUGCUCUUACAGAACACCUUCCAUGCACGGCUAUCAAAAGAUUUACAAACUUUAAUUAACCAAUACUCAGGAUGACCUUGUGAUGAAGACCAACACAUCUAUCCUGAAUUUUUAUGCAUUUGCCCAUUUUUACACACACAAAUACACAACCACAUGCAGAGAAACUUGCGUAUGGGAGACUUUGCACAGAUAACUAUUCCAGCGUAACAACACAUAGAAUGAACUGCUAUAUAUAAAGUUCUAUACUUCCUACGUCUUUUUUUCCGUUAACUUAUAGUGUGCACAUUUAUUUUAAAAAUAAGCAUGGACACAUAUAGCCUGAUAUACAUAUGUCCCUGCACUUACAGAUCUCUGUACGCAAACAAACUGUUUCUGUCGUAGCUGGGUUCAUUCUAGACCUCUACAGCAUGCUUGGUGCCACUACGCAACUCGCAUCAAUUAUUCUGCGGGAGACGCAUCUGGCAUCACCUAUGUAAAGUAAUACAUACAUACAGACACAUCAAUACACUGAACCGUCAUUUUCAAAAGGUCACAUUUGCUACAAUCUACUACAGCAAAAAAAAAGCUUCAAGAAGCAAAGUUGACAUCCUUCAAGAAGCCCAAGCACUGCGACACGAGUGCCCGUGUCAGGAUUUCCCUGGCUGUGUGUUCACUGUGCCAGCUGCUGCGCCCGCUCCCUGCCCUGGUCCCUGGGCACACUGCACUGCUGCUGCACAGCACCGCUUGGAAGUCACUGCUCAACAGUCGGGUGCACGGAGAGCCCUGCUCCAUCCAGACACCUCUGCACCGCCAUCAGCCUGAUAUCAGAAACUGUGUCAGGAAAUAGGCACCAAGGCUUUUACUUUCACAGGAGAAUGUUUUCAGCCUCUCUCUGCACCAUUACCCCUCCAGCUGACAAAAAUGACCUAAAAACCUCUAUCAAUAGAAAUAUAGCAACUAAAAGAAAUAGAAUCAAACUCGGAGGCAAAAUGUAGAAGCAGCACCCUGCGUGUCUGAAAAAGGGCUGUGGAAGAACAGAAUUUGUGUCCCAAAUUAAAUCUCUUCUACUCCUUCCUCUGCAGCACUUUCUGAACCGUUUAAAACCAGACAGCAUUUGCACGCCAUACGUGGUCCAGAAACAAAAACACCGCAACUCCUCAGAACCACCUCAUAGGUCAACGAUUGAUUUAAAAAGUAAAAAGCAGAGGAUAAAGGAAAUGUAUACAUUAAAAUGUACAUAGGUUAAUUGUGGUUCUGGGCACCAAAAAGAAUUUGAAAUCAAGUCCUUGAAACCAGUAACACUCUGUUCUCCACUGCUAUGCUGUCAGAUAUGUGAGAAUCUCAUGGAGAUAGGUGUAUUUUUUACGGCCGGGAAACAAACAGCAUUGCUGAGAAUGAGCAAGUUGUCAGACUAACCCAAUAAAAACAAAAACUACACAUAAGACUUCAGAAAAACACAAUCUGUCAAACAAUAAUUACAUAGUAUUUUUUUUUUUAAUACACAAAAUUACAUAAAUCUCAGUGAGAAACCUGGAAUGCGAUUGCUCGUGUCAGUAUGUUUUUAAGAAUGCACCAGCGGCAACAUGGAACAUCAUAUUUCUGCCUUGUUUUCACCCAAGUGCUUGCACAUUCUAAAAACGAUCAUCUCCAUAUGCAAAAUCAUAACAGGAGAACUGAACAUUUUUUUUUUUUAAAGCUGUUCUUUUGACCUUUCUCUUGAGUGAAAGGACAGCGAGACAAUACGCUCACCAGCAUUGUUCACAAUGACGGCUCCAUCACCGGAGAUUGAGGGCCGUUAUUACUAAAGGGAACUUUAAGGUGCCAGGAGAAAAAGGGGGAAAAAUUAGAAAAUAACACUUCUAAAUAUGCCAUACCUACAAGGAGCCUUUCAGGAGAGCAGACACAGAGCAACAAGAAAUCGUCAGGUAAAACCAGCUGCAGUAAAACACACACAAUCAAUUCAAAACAAAAGGUGCUAUGAUGAGAAAUUGUCUCCUGUUAUGCAGCAUACUCUAAGCUGGAGGUCCUGGACACACUUCAGUCUUUCACAAUACGGGCUUUUCUAAUUCAAGAAACAUAGGUGACCCUUAAAUACGCAGUAAAUCCAACAUCAUCUUCAGGAACAGAGAAGGAAAAUCUGGACUGAAGCAAAGGGUUCUCAUCAGUUUCUCUUACUCUACCAAGAACAAAUUAGAACAGAUUUCAUUUACCUUCUAAGCUUCCAACGGGAUGCAGUAUUUGUGAGAUGUCCUUACAGCCAUGGCAAAAAUUGUAUGAAAAUGGCUACCUAUGUCUACUCUACGUCUCUUUCCUUUCACAAACACAACAACACAGGAAUAAAUAAAACCGUGUCCAAAACCAGGACAGUCCUAUUAUCGUCAUUUUAUUGCAAUUUAAGUCCCAUCUUGAAAAAGAAAUGAGGUGAUAUUUGCCUGAAAAGGCAAAAGAGUCCUCUUUUCUUCACACACGCAUAAGUUUGUGAUUUUAUGAAUGGAUUCUGCAUUGUUCGCUAAAUAAAUCCUUACGGGGCAGGAAUAUUCUUUGUAGGGCGACUAAAGUCAGCCGAAGGGUGACUAGGUGGAGAUUUGCUGGGAUCCCACAAAAUGAACAGGACUUCUCAUCCAUUUUUUCCUCCCCCAUUCAGAAAGGGAGUGCAAGAAAAUUCCAGCUCAGCAGGGACACAGAGCCAUCGCAGGUUGUGUGAUAACAGCUUGCCACCUGCCUUUCGCAAGUUGUCUUUGCGAAGUGCAAGGGGCACUGAAUAGUAACGUUGCCUGUGGUGAUAGGAAUGCACUGAACAGCUCAGUAUGCAAAAGCACUUACUGGUACACAGUGCUCUUCACAAAGGGCAUUGCAGAAUGCUUUCCAGACUGUCAGAAGUGCUAGGAGAGGAAAUAUUAGUGCGUGUGCCGCAGGAGGAACGUAAGCACUUGCCAUCACAAUAAAAUAAGGUAUUAGCAAAUGUCGGUACAAAGCUGCUCACAGCAAAAAAAUAAAAAAUAAGGGACAAAAAGACACCUACCAAACAGCAAACUUAGCUGCAGUCAGACAAAAAGGAGCAUUUCUUUGCCAGAUCAGCAAGGGUUAACAGCAGCACACAAGCUCCCGUCCAGUCAAGAGAGGGUCAAAUGAUGUGCAGUGAAAGUUUCCUCAAUCCCCCAGAGCUUGUUUGCUAAUUACAUUUGCAAUUACAAACAUGACAAAUAUAUUAUUAUACAGUGCGUUCCACCUUGAGCAGGCACGUUCUCCUCCUGGGCAGCCACAGCCAGCAGCCACGCUCACGAGCACGGGCAGAAUGAAAGCACGCCGUGCUCCAGCUGCAAGGUGCAUUCUGUGGGCAUCGCUACUGCUCCGAGGGGACAGGGCAAGGCUGGGGAGAGGAGCACAGCAAGGAUGAAACAGACGCAGGGUACAUUACAGCAGUUUAAUUCCUGAAGAGUAAAACUUAUCAGAUCAAUAACUAUUAGCAAUAAAUAAUACUAAAUUCUGUUCCUGAUGACAGGCACCAAGCACUCUGCACAUGUAAGCUGCGUAGGGAUGACUACAUUCAGAACUCAAACGCAACCGAUACAGGGAUGGCCGAAAGAAAUCAAGGUUUCCCUAUCUCCAGCAGGGUCACCAAAAACAAGCACUGCUAAUAUUGCCUUUGUUAAGUCCAUUCACUAAACAACCAACCAUCUGAUCUGUAGGUUUCUGUUAAAGCUCCAAUCCCGCUUUCCCCCUCCAGCCCCCCAGCUUCUAUAGCAGCAGCAUUACCUAGAAAGCGCAGUGCUGGGGUCCGGACAGAUGCUACAUUUUCUUCCUCUCAGUGCACAAACUAAAAAUUCCGUACUGUUCCGGCUGUAAAGUUAACAGCAGGAGAUCCACAGAAUAAAACCAUAGGUGUUACUGGGAAGAAUUGCCCAGUCUCCACAGUCUGCAGCAGAGCUACUGCCUCGAAACACUGGCUGCUGCUACGAACCUCAAUUCUCAGCCCAAGGAGCAGGAAUUAGAAGGAAAAGCUGGGGAUAGCAUUUUGGCUUUUAUACCCAAGCUGUGCCAGCAUCUGUUUCUACUUUUACUAUUUCUUCCUCUAAAAUUCUCUUUGUUAUUUCAAACUCCAAAGAAAUUCUACCGCGCUCAGAACAAAAACUGUGAAGUCCACCGGUCUCAGGAUGAAGUCUUUUCCUGUCUCCCUUCUUCGAGUCCGUAAAAGCACUCGUGUCCUUUGAGCCCCGGCAGAUUUGGGAAAGAGACUCAUGGACACAAUGCACAGAACUUCUUGUUGAGCUGUUGUUACUGGGAAAAUACAGGAUAUUUCAAAUGACAAGAAAUUCUGAGCGGUGGUAACAGAGCCGAGAUGGGGCUGGGGAACAGCGGCAAGAAGGGCACGGGGGAUACAGCAGCGAUCCCUUGGAAAGGGAGAAAACGGGAUGUGAAAUCUCUGUCACAGCAACUUUCUCUGAUGCAAUCUCUCCAAAGUCUUUCCCCUCUCAGGCUAAAUGCAAUAUUUAUUGAUUACUUCAAAUCAAUACAAUGAAAAAAAAAAUCCUACUUUUUAAAAUAUAUUGAUCUUUCCAUAUUUCUCAAUAAUUGAUAAUGAUUAGACCAUCUUUACUUUCACAAGUGGAAUUGGAAAAGGAGGGAAAAGUUAAUACAAAUGUCGUCAAGGUACCAAUUUCCUCAUCAGCCUCGUGCUCAAUAGGCACAGUACACCAAGACCCUGUUCUGCAGGAACCCAGCAACCAGGCUGCUUCCCUUACAGAGGUUUUGCAGUUUAUUCUGUCAGUAAAGCACACAACUCCCUCCCCACGCUCCCCAGUUAACAACUCCUCCCUGCCCCAGACUUUCAGAGACACUCAGACCAGACCGCUGCAUUCAGCUUCUCUGACUCAGAUUUCCUCCCAUUCACAGAAUACGGACAUUUCCAGUAACCUCUCAAAUUAAGUCACAUUUCCUCAGUCUGUGCAUUACAGUCAGUGACAACAACUUUGUCAAUUCCCUGCUACAGGAUCCAGAAUUUGCCGUUUCAUUGACUUAAAAUUCCAAUGUUAUACCUUCCCGUCCCUCUAUCAAACGUAUCAGAUAUUCCUUUCAGCUUUUCCUUUCUGUCCAUAAAAUAAUUUUCAUUUUUAUCGGAUCAGUGACUCAUGUGUCUUUCUUGUACAUCAGAGGAAACAGUGUAAGAGACAUAGCAUCUGGCAGCAUGCCCUUAUUUGCCAAUGAUUUUUAUUUUCCCUUCAUUAUGGUUACUUGGUCAGUUUCUGUCUGUCAUGGAGAAUAUUAAUUAGAAACAGAGAUGGCAAUUUUGCAGUCCUGUCAGUAAUUCUUGUGGCAGCUAUAGCUAGGCAGAAAAAAAUCUCUGGGACAUGGAAGUUAAUACAUAGAAGUAAAGCUGUCCCCUUUGAAACAGCCUUAGGUUUGCAUAUAAGAGAUACACGAUGCUGAUAUUCAGUGUACCGUACCUACGUACGUGCAUAUAACUCCAUAUACAUAUUUAUAUACGCACACACGUUUGUGUGAAUAUCAUCACCUAUUUUGUCUGUCUGGGUGCUGCUCCCGGUGCCUGUAAGCGCGCUCCCUUCCCGCUGUACUGCAGACAGACACUGUCAGUACAGUGUAACUAAUGUAUUCUCGCCAUACGCCUCACCUGACAGACAAACUGCAGGUACAAAUCACUGCCUUUGUUAGCUUCACAACUGGAAGUCACGCAAAAGGUUCUCCCUCGGUGCUGUAUCACCAACCCCAGGAAUAAUUCUCCCAAAGGUCAGUACCAGAAGGCAGAAAGCAGUCACCAAAGCGCGGAUUCCUGUACAAGGAACCAAACACGUACACUGCCAUAGGAUGCACAGGGUCAAAAACAGAGGGUCAGUAUCAGGAAUCAGUAUUUCCUUACUCUCACUGCAAGACCCUGUGCUGAGGGAAAGCACUCAGCCCACCAAACGGAACAUCCUGGGUUCCCGGUGCGAUCGCUCAGACCUGCACACAUGGGCAGAGGAAAGGGAACUUUCACUGCUUCAGGAAGACAAAUCCAAAACCUUAAGAGUGUGAUGAGGGGUAAUGAAUUCCAUUCUCUUGUUCAUUUUUGUUCACUUUUGAGUGCAUUACAAAUAUUAAGCUCCCCUUAAACUCCAAGGUGAAGGGAGUCACCUUUCCUCUCCUUUGCCUUGGUCAUCGUCUCCCUCCGUAGUUGCAAGGUGAAAUACAGUUUCCAGGUAACUGUAUGGAUCCCCUAUUGAGUGACUACAGCUCCUUCUCCAGCCACAUUCUAUCCUUCCUCACAUUUUCUCCUAUAGCUUAGCAGGCAACAAAACAAGAGGAGGCAGCCUGCAGUAUUUUAAAAUUCACUCUUAAAUUAAGGUUUAAUUUGACAACAAAUGCUGCCCACAUAAUUAAAAGCAUUUUUUUAAAGGAAAAUAACUAUGGAAAUCUUUUUCAGUGGUUAACAGUCAGAAAGAAGGCUCACUCAGAACAAAAAGGACGAUAUGCUCACACAACCAGCUAGUAAUACAAGCACAAUGACAAUACCUGUAUUUACCCAAUACGUUCAUAAAUAAUUGCGUUACAAUGGAAAAAGAAGCGGCUCAAGAAGUAUGUAUUGGGUCAACUCUUAUCCUCAGCUACAAGAACGCAAGCCAAAAUCUAACCCUAACAACACCAGAACGUAAACCCAAGCAAUAACCGACACACUGCACACACUUUAAUUUUUCCAUGGUUUAGGGCUUCUCGCACCUUUUCCUUCUCUCACCAACUUUUCCCAGACUUAGCCAUACUUCCCCACUUCAUCACUGCACUCCUUUAAUUAAACAAACAAACAACAAAAUUGAUUGAGAUAUUUAAAAUGGUAUUUCUUGGUCGCCCUCCCCGGACCUCAUCAGUGUUCGGAUGGCAGCUAGCUGGCACGCACAGACACAUCAAGCACUCCUCUCAACCAAGCACGACGACAUUUCUCAUCACAAAGAGCAGAUCUGCCGACUGCAAAGCCGUGGGGGCUCAGCGGCACUUCCCCAGGGCCGCCUUCACCUGCAUGCUGGGUGGCCAAAGGGUUGGGAACGCAGGAGGGCACCGUUCCUGAGCUGGGAGCUGCCCGAGAGCCCCUGGUGACAUAGCACAGGGACAGCAAUCCAACGUGCAGAUCCCUUCUUACUGCUUUCACGCUGCUGGAGUUUCUUUUCUCAAUUCCAAAAGUAGAACAAAUAAAAGGAAAAAAGUUAAGAGACACUGUAGCAAGAGAUAAUGAUAUACCUUUUGACCGUGGCAUUUUAUUCUGUUGUUUUGUGUUUGUUUGUAUGAUUUUAAUGAAGGUAAAUGCACUUCGUAUUUUUGCCUUAACAUCAGAAGACUCCCAGAAGCACAGAGAACACAUUUCCCUCAAGAAACUGUUUGUUUAUUUCUAAUUCAGAACGGAGCAGCCAAAGUGAAGCGGUGGGGAAAAGAAAAAUCACACGGGUUGGACUAUUAAUUUCUAUCAACAAUUCGAAGUCACAUUUUAAUGAAACUGCUGGAAGUGGGGGAUUAAAGUAGGGAGAAAUGAGCGUAAGGACACACAAUAUCAGCAAGCGAGACAGACAGAUGGAUAAAGGACAGCUGUAAUGAGGAAAGAGAGGUCAGCAUCACCGUGGGCUUGGUUGGUUUUAAGUGUUUUAAUUUUAAUAAUAGAAUGUGUUCUUAAAACAAACACCAUAAAGGCGGCAAAUGACCUCACUCCUAGCCCCUACCCCCUCCCGAUGACACCACAGAACCCGUGUAGGUGACACACAGAUUAACAUGAAAACACAAAAGGGGACUCCGCUCGGGGAGAUUUAUCGGAGGGGAGACACGCACAUGGAACUGAAUGACUCCGCUGAGCUGGAUGCAAACGCUGAGAAGAUUGUGCCUUGUUUCCUAACUUCCCCGAAAGGAUCAAACCAAACUUAACACGUUAACGUGGCUCUGAACGCAGCGUUAUCGGGCACCGCUCCGCGCAGGAUACAAAGAGCAGCGGCAGGUGCUGAGGUGGCUGCCAGCGGUCCCGGCUCGGGAUGCUGCCGCCAGCCCCGCCGCUCCGCUCUGCCCCGGGCAGGCACCCCGCAGAGCGAACUCCUUUUCCGAAGGAGAUUUCGGGUCAAAAUACGAGUUUUGUUGCAACAAUAACAACAACAACAGAAAAAAAAAAUUCGCGACAGUAUUUUUA